This 253-nucleotide ribosomal RNA is filed under the name uncultured prokaryote. RNAcentral describes it as "partial 16S ribosomal RNA". It matches the Rfam family "Bacterial small subunit ribosomal RNA", at positions 524 to 776 of the family's 1533-position model. The record is from RNAcentral.
UACGAGGGGUGCAAGCGUUGCUCGGAAUUAUUGGGCGUAAAGGGUAGGUAGGUGGUCUCAUUUGUCUGGGGUGAAAGCCUUGAGCUUAACUCAAGAAGUGCCCUAGAAACGGUGAGACUGGAGUCUUGGAGAGGGUCGUGGAAUUCCCGGUGUAGCGGUGAAAUGCGUAGAGAUCGGGAGGAACACCGGUGGCGAAGGCGGUCUUCUGGACGGUGACUGACGCUGAGGCGCGAAAGCGUGGGGAGCAAACGGG